GAAAGAAGGAAAGAAAGAAAAAGAGAGAAGGGAGAAAGAAAGGGGAAAAAGAGAAAGUGCCUACUGUCACUUUAACAAGGCAGAGGGCCAGGCUUUAACAAGAUGGCGUUCACCAGCCUCUGACCUGGAGAAGAUCCCCGCAGGCUCCAGCACCCCAGACUGAUGCUUUCAAAUUAGAAACUAGAAAUUAGAAAUUAGAAAGAGUCUCUUUCACACAAAUUCUUGGUGCUUUUCAAAGGGCUGCCUCUUUACCAAACCCUGGGACAGGUUGGUCUGCAAACGUGCUGCCGAGUUUUGAUCAUCGCGUCUCUCAGCCUUGGCCAGGUGCAAUUCCACCCGGACACUUUUCGUUAGUUUUUUAGAGAUUACUCAAAGAUAAAACAGUGCCUGGUACUUCCUCUUAUUCUUGUGAGUGGUGGUCUUCGCAGAUAACUGGAUACUGGAACAUCUCUCUGCUGGAAGCCCACUUAUGCGUACCUUCAAACACAAGUCACAGUGCUCUUCAAAGUUAAAAGCCCAAGAGGAUUUCCCAACAAAAAUAAAAGGAAAGCUUUCGAGCUGGCCUUGGAUGAGGAAGCAACUUCUACAGCUGCAAAGUUGUCGCGUGGGGGAAGGAAGCAGAUAACGUGCUGGAGAAAUUAACAACAGAGGGGGCACCACUUGUUUUAAGGUUGGAAUCUCCUCCUGAAUCUUAUAUUCCCCAGUUAACUAUAAUCUGACUAAAAUUUCUGUCCAAAAUAUAAAGGAACAACCUAAUUAAGAAAAUGUGAGUAUUUAAAUAUUAGCUUGUGGCUGCUCUGGUAAAUGAAAACUCAAAAAUGACUCAAAAAGGAAGUGCAUUCUUACUUCACCGUCACACCCUUAUUUGAAAUAAAUCACAUUUCCUCACUUGA
This is a long non-coding RNA of Suricata suricatta (meerkat), 893 nucleotides long. RefSeq lists it as uncharacterized. Lineage: Eukaryota; Metazoa; Chordata; Mammalia; Carnivora; Herpestidae. The record is from RefSeq and is a predicted model, not a curated record. The transcript is spliced from 5 exons.